This 72-nucleotide transfer RNA is filed under the name Chlorosarcina stigmatica. RNAcentral describes it as "tRNA-Arg". It matches the Rfam family "tRNA". From Rfam's summary of the family: Transfer RNA (tRNA) molecules are approximately 80 nucleotides in length. Their secondary structure includes four short double-helical elements and three loops (D, anti-codon, and T loops). The record is from RNAcentral. Lineage: Eukaryota; Viridiplantae; Chlorophyta; Chlorophyceae; Chlorosarcinales; Chlorosarcinaceae.
GAGCUCAUCGUCCAACGGAUAAGACAACUGCCUUCUAAGCAGUGAAUGUAGGUUCGAUUCCUACUGAGCUCA